This is a long non-coding RNA of Carassius auratus (goldfish), 408 nucleotides long. RefSeq lists it as uncharacterized. The transcript has 3 exons. The record is from RefSeq and is a predicted model, not a curated record. Lineage: Eukaryota; Metazoa; Chordata; Actinopteri; Cypriniformes; Cyprinidae.
GCAGGGAUAUGUUGUUACACCAGAUUAUAAUUCAUUUUUGUUUUUUGUGUUUUUAUAUAUAUAUAGAUAUAUAUGUAUAUUUGUUUUUAUUAUUAAUUGUUUUGGGGCAUUUUAUUUUGAAAAUGUUGCAUGCUUUUAUUAAAUAUAGUAUGUACGUCGGCUGAUGUCAUACGUAGGUAAGGCGUUCAAAACGCAGCGCAAUCGGAAGUUCGUCCUCUUUGCUUCAAUGCCAUCAGAGAGGAGAGGCAUAAUUAAGAGCUGUUGCAGAUAACAGUGCCUGUCUGUUUGCUUGUUUUACUACACAGAGAGGAGAGGCAUAAUUAAGAGCUGUUGCAGAUAACAGUGCCUGUCUGUUUGCUUGUUUUACUACACAGGCACUACAAUUAAAUCCUCAUCAGUUAAAAACCA